ACUAUUAUUCUAACAACACAUCC
This 23-nucleotide microRNA is filed under the name Ananas comosus (pineapple). RNAcentral's name for it is "microRNA s0749_c96a". Lineage: Eukaryota; Viridiplantae; Streptophyta; Magnoliopsida; Poales; Bromeliaceae. The record is from RNAcentral.